AAGGUUAUAGCUCAGUGGUAGAGUGCGUGCCUAGCAUGCACAAGGCCCUGGGUUCAACUGCCAGUACCUCCA
RNAcentral lists this transfer RNA (72 nucleotides) under Camelus bactrianus (Bactrian camel). It matches the Rfam family "tRNA". From Rfam's summary of the family: Transfer RNA (tRNA) molecules are approximately 80 nucleotides in length. Their secondary structure includes four short double-helical elements and three loops (D, anti-codon, and T loops). RNAcentral also lists the same sequence under 2 other names. The record is from Rfam by way of RNAcentral. Lineage: Eukaryota; Metazoa; Chordata; Mammalia; Artiodactyla; Camelidae.